Molecule: long non-coding RNA, 4638 nt
Organism: Macaca mulatta (Rhesus monkey)
Lineage: Eukaryota; Metazoa; Chordata; Mammalia; Primates; Cercopithecidae
Source: Ensembl
CACUCAAAGAUUAGAAUUAUUUUUCGUUGUUUCCUUGUGACAAUUCUGACAUUGAGCCACUUGGAAGUUUUUGGGUUACAAAGCCAAUGCAUUUUAUAUACAAGGUAUUAGGUUAGUGCAAAAAGUAAUUGUAGUUUUUGCCAUAAUGGCACCAUUGUAGCAAAAAUUACUUUUUGCAUCAACCUAAUAUAUGGGAAAUCAGAUGUAGCUACUUAUUCACACUCCACCAAAUAAUUACUGAAUAUUUACUAUUUCCAUAGGAGGUACAGAGAUAUUCAGAUAGCAGUACUGGAGUUCUAAGUCUUACAUAGUAUGUGCUGAAUAAAUAUUUGUGAAAUGAUGGAUGAAUAAAUGGGUGCCUAUUGAACAGAGGAGCUGAAACAUGUUUAUUAACUCUAGUAAGGGAAUAAUAACAACAAUAACCAACACUUAUUAAACUCUUGCUAUCACCCAAGCAAGCACUUGACAUGUGUUUGUUUAUUCUUUAAGAUGUGCUGUGAGUCCUAAGUGAGGCAGAGACACUGUGGGAAUUGGAAGGAGAAGGACAACUUUUUCAUUUUGGAGAGUGGAGGUGACAGUCAGAAAAACUGAAAACUGUGAAUCCAUUACCAGCAUACGUGCCAGUCCUGAGGCAAUACAUGGCGUACAUGGCCCCUACCUUCAGACAGCAGGGGCACACUUUGACAAAUAAGGAGGGAUCCAGUAGGACUGAGAGGCGGGAGGUUGUCCUGGACAGAGAACAAGGAGGCCAGACUGAUGGGGCAGGGAUUCCUGCAGGUACAGGAUGGGGAGGAUUGAGAAAGAGAGUGAGGAGAAAGCUUCAUGCCUGAGGAUGGAGGCCCAGGGCACCAGGGCAAGAUUCCUGCUGGUUGUGCAAAGAGCAGACCGAGUUCAGUGGACAGAGUCGUGGAUCACCCUUUUCCCCACCUCCCUGGACCAGUCCAGGAAGAGAGAGUUACGCAAAGUGUAUAAUACUUUAAAAACUAAUAUCCUGUUUUGCAAAAUUGCAUUUCAUUCAGGAAAUAACAGGAUUUCCCAUCUCGGCCGCAACCCUGCAGAGAAGGUGAAUGAACGCUUUGGGGGGAGGAGGCUGUCCCUGUCAUUAACAGUGCCUGGGUUUAAACUUAUAAUUAAAAUAACCUUUAAAAUUCAAUUUUUAUAGAUGGAGGAGAUAACUUGAUUUGAAACCCUUCAAUGCACACAUUUUAUGUAGCACUCACCCAAAUCCAAUGGUACCAUAGAAAAACGGGAACAUAAAACUCGAUGAUGAGAGUUUAUAUAGCUUUUAAAUAUCAAGCUGUCAGGCUUUGUGCCGGUAGAAAUAUUGUAAUUGACAAGAGUAAAGAAAAAGAGUUUACAUUAGCAUUGAGGGUUUUUGAGUGAAUUCAGACCAAGCAGAAUAUAAUAGAAACCCCUUUAAAAGAAAGAGGAGAGAAAAACUCGAGGUCCAAGCAUAGUCUGACCUUCCUUUCAGAGGAGAUCUGCUUGAUAAAACAGACACAACCCCAAUAAAAUACUAACAAUAGAAAAAAGUAAAUAGAAAUCAUAUUAAGCAGUGGCGAUAUUGCCUGAAUUGAAACAAAAAUUAGGUAUAAUAGCCUUGGCGGGUUUUAAUAUGGUCCCCAAUCACAUCACAAUACGAAGCAUAUCAUGGUGUUGCUAAAUAAUGUUUAUCAUCUUGAAAUCUCCCUGCCUGGUAGACAACUUGCAUUAUUUGAGGUUUGUGGGCUUUUUUUUUUUUUUUAAAGAACUCAUAAAUAUUUAAUGUCCAGGAUCAAGAAUGGGGCUGGGGGAGGGGACAUGUCUCUCGAAACAGUAAUGUUUCUCUGUGUGACAGGCCCUGGCAUUGUCUGGAGCUAAGGCUUGGCCCUGGUGUGAAGCAUUGGGAUGAGGAGUGUGUCCCUCUGAAGACCUAGAGCCACCUGGUACCAGGGUUACAGAGAGGAUCCCAGAUAGCAGGGCAGCCUGCCCCAGAUGCACUCACACCUGUCUGCUAUACCUGGGCAGGGCUAGUCAUGCGUGACUUUUUCCCUUGUGCAUUGUGGAUUACAGGGCUACAGAGGAAAAAAAAGUGGGCCAGUGGGUUCCUGUUGGUCAUAUCCUAAUGCAAUUCUGAAUUCCAGGAGCUGGUGGGAACAUUGGCCUUCCAGCUGGCUGUCCAUCUCCUCCACUGGUCAACCAGCCAGUGUCUCUUUAUUGAGGGCCUUCAAGGGGCCAGGCAUAGAAUCCUCAGUGUUGUUUUCUGUUGCUUGUAAGAUUCUUAAGGGAAUAUUUUCAACCUUUUCUGAAGUUUCAGAAGCCUGUGUUUUCUUCAGGAUCAAUGCUGCAUGCAUUCAAUAAGAGUUUGGAAUCUGGUCUUUUUUAGACUUUUUGGCUCAGGGUGGGAAGAGAGGUGAGCCGGAGAAGGCAACUAGCGCAUGUGCUGUUUCCUCAAAAUACCUGCGAUUCAUUUUUUUAAAAUCUCAGUGACUCUCCAAUUGAGUUCUGCACCAUUCGUUCAUUUGUUCACUCCACAAAUAUUUAUUGAGAACCUACAGUAUGCCAGGCACUAUUGCAGGCUCUGGGGGUACGAUAUUGACCAACCCAGCACGUUUGCUGUUGUCCCAGAGCUAGUGUAUUGCCUGAAUUGAAACAAAAAUUAGGUAUAAUAGCCUUGGCGGGUUUUAAUAUGGUCCCCAGUCACAUCACAAUAUGAAGCAUAUCAUGGUGUUGCUAAAUAAUGUUUAUCAUUUUGAAAUCUCCCUGCCUGGUAGACAACUUGCAAUUAUCCAUGUCAGUGGAUAUUGCACAUCACUUGAAAUUUGGGCCCUCUUAAGAGACAGAGAGGUGAGAUGCAAAAUACCUUUUUGGGAACAGUGUCUGGUUUGGGCUCAGAAGCACCUUGACUCAUGCAGGAUUUAUACCAGUCGUUCAUGCAAGAGCCAACAGCCACUAUGCUCAUACAGGUCUUCCCUACCAGACCUCAGCAUCCUCUCAGGGAAGGGCACUAGAACAGGGGAGCAUCCUCAUUGGUCCUGGGCCUUUCUCUCUGUGUCCAUUUCCUAACUUCCCCUGCAGCCAUCUCAGGUGGAUGCAACUGCCACAUCCUUGGACAUGGGCACACUUACUUACACAGGUGCACAGAGCCUGACAUGCUCCCUUCUGAGUCCCAGCAUGGUUUCUCCAUCCUGUCAAUUGCCCCAGAAGGUGGACCUGAGCCAAUAGCACUGCAUUCCUGUCUGCACAACAACAGGGAUGAUCUCGGGAGGAUAAUGAAGAGGAAGAUUUGGUUUGCCCUGGGCCUGGGUCACCACAUAGGGUCUGCUGCCUGCUGUGUCUCCGGGUCCCAUGCUCCUUGAGAAGCCAGCUGUGGUUGUCAUGACAGCAGCCACCCCCGGAGUUCCCACAGCAUGGAGUCUGGCCAAUCUCAGAGCUGCCAACCUUUCCCUGUCUACCAGACCAUGGAGGUCCAGCCAUACACUUCACGUGGCUCAACUGAUUAGCGAGUGAGAACUGGCAGGUGACUUAGAGAGCCUGCUCUAGGUCUAGAAACCAUCACAUAGACCACAAAGAAACUCACUGUGGUCCUCAGAGUCAAGGGCCUGAGAUAGUAUCAUCUCACCAGCAGACAUUCAAGUUUGAUCUUCCUUUCUGAGGCCAGAGGCUGAAUCUGGAAGACCAUGACAAGAGUGAGGACUCAAGGAGUAGCAACAACUGACAGGCUGGCAUGUGGCAUGCUCAGGACUACGCCGGGGAUUGUGGAGCCCUGUCACCUCUAUGAAAUGGGUGCUGCAGGCUGGGCACGGUGGCCCACACCUGUAAUCCCAGCAUUUUGGGAGGCCGAGGCGGGUGGAUCACGAGGUCAGGAGAUGGAGGCCAUCCUGGCCAACAUGGUGAAACCCUGUCUCUACUAAAAAUACACAGAUUAGCUGGGCAUGGUGGCGGAUGCCUGUAAUCCCAGCUACUCAGGAGGCUGAGGCAGGAGAAUGGCUUAAACCCAGGAGGCAGAGGUUGCAGCGAGCCGAGAUCACGCCACUGCCCUCCAGCUGGGGCAACAGAGCAAGACUCUGUCUCAAAAAAAAAAAAAAAAAAAAAGGCACUGCAGGCAGCCUGUGCUGGGUGUCAAUGCUGGCCCUGUAACUUCCUUACUAAGUGACCUUGAGCCAAUUACAUAGUUUUUCUGAUUCUUGCUGUUCUCAUCUAUAAGUGGAUGUGACCACAUGAGGCAGUGUGAGGAUUCAAUCUCACAUGCAGCAGGCGAAGUGCUGGGAACAGUAUCAGACUCCUGGGCUGCGGCCAGCAGGGCUUUUCUGUGAGCACCUGUGCAGGUAGAGCUCUUUCUCCUCCCCAUUGACGUAGACUUUGCCACCAGGGUCCAAGGCACAGCGUCUUUGGUUGCCAUUGUUUUAUAGAAUUUCAAGGGAAAUAGCAUUCCCUAUUCUGUUUCCUGCCCAGCUCCUGCCACACUCUUCUUGGGGUGGGUUCUCUCUGGAGGUACCUCCCUUCAUCUGCAGCCCUGAGAUGGGUUGGACCCUGCUGUGAGAAGGGGGGUUCCUGCCGGGAUGCCCACAUGGAGAGUUAGCAAACAUGGGUCUGUCCCUCACAGGGCUCAGCGUGCCCUAGAGGCUGGAGAAGUUGGCAGGGAUGCCAGGAGUGUGG